RNAcentral lists this long non-coding RNA (878 nucleotides) under Homo sapiens (human). RNAcentral describes it as "non-protein coding lnc-POU3F3-7:10". The record is from RNAcentral. Lineage: Eukaryota; Metazoa; Chordata; Mammalia; Primates; Hominidae.
AUUCGACAGUCCCCGCUCUGAGAGGGAGGGACAGAGAGCGAACUGUCAGAUCGGAGCGAGAGCGGGCGCCCGAGAGAGGGAGAGAGAGAGAGGGAGGGAGAGGAAAAGUGAGAGAGGGAAAGAGAGCGCGAACGAGGGCGCAGAGCGAGCUCCUGCUGCAACUCUGCUCCAGCACGGCCAGCGCCAGCGCCCGCCGUCGGUGCACUCUACGAGCCGUGCAGCGUGCCCACUGGAGUUGUUGUGUAUCAAGGAUCGAUCCCCUAUAUGCACACACACACCUCCACCUCCACCAAUGCACUCUUCUUCCUCCUCCUUCUCCAGACAACUGCUGGGAAAAAAAUAAAACACCAACCCCAACCGUCAGCAACAAGGAAAGAUGUCGCAUCAGACUGUGACUGUUGCGAGGAGAAUGAAAAAGGACUCUUGUUUCAGAGGCAACCAAGAGCUCCGGCAAUAGCAACUUCAGAGAAAUGCACCAUCGCAAGAAGUUUUCCUAGGACAGAACAAAACUUGAAACGAGAGGACCAGAGGGGGAGAGCAGGAGCCAGCCUCCCCUCUCCGCACUCGCGAGCAGCCAGCAGCACCACGCCUUCAAGGACGAAAAAGUUUUACUACUCUAAGGGAAAACGAGUGAAAUGUGUUCCUGAGGAGGAGAGGAGAGGAGAGGAGAGAGCGGACAAGAGAAGGAGCGGGCCGGUUGCUGGUCAUCCGUAAUUUGGCUAAGGAAGAAAGGAGCAGCUUCUUUCUUUGUUAUCUCCCGUGAAACCUUCACUUAGCAGGUGGACGGAGCCCCGCGACCGGGCAGAGUCCGGGCUCGCCCGAGGACAGGAGGAGGAGCGGGAGCCCGCGCGUCCCGGGAGAGCGCCCCGAGUGCAGGU